AUUGAACGCUGGCGGCAGGCCUAACACAUGCAAGUCGAGCGAGCGGCGGACGGGUGUGUAAUGUCUGGGAGAAAGCCCGAUGGAGGGGGAUAAAAACUCGAAACGGUAGCUAAAACCCCCUACCAUCUCAGUUGCCCAGACGGGAUUCGCGCGUAGGUGGGGGACAGGCUCACCUCGGCGACGACCCCUAGCUGGUCUGAGAGGAUGACCAGCCACACUGGAACGAAGACACGGUCCAGACUCCUACGGGAGGCAGCAGUGGGGAAUAUUGCACAAUGGGCGCAAGCCUGAUGCAGCCAUGCCGCGUGUAUGAAGAAGGCCUUCGGGUUGAAAAGCACUUUCAGAGGGGAGGCGUUACCCGCAGAAGAAGCACCGGCUAACUCCGUGCCAGCAGCCGCGGUAAUAC
RNAcentral lists this ribosomal RNA (406 nucleotides) under uncultured bacterium. Its description in RNAcentral is "partial 16S ribosomal RNA". It matches the Rfam family "Bacterial small subunit ribosomal RNA", at positions 29 to 526 of the family's 1533-position model. The record is from RNAcentral.